UAAACAAAUAUAUAAAAACAAACAGUAUUUAUAUCAUAUAUCUAUGUUGAAGUCAUGGCACAAUAUAAGAAUAUAGCUUUCUAAAAUCCUUGUUAUCACGUGUUCAAUCAAAAACAAUAGCAUGCCCUAUUUCUAAGUCAAACUUUAUUCAUAAUAAAACACUAUCUACAAUACAUCCCAUUGUCAUUUUCAGAGUUUCUGGUGUACUUGUGACAUCUCAAUCAAUGUCCACAAAUUCUUUCACACGUGCUGAAAAGGUCACUGCAUUUCUGCAUACACACUGUGUCUAUUAUGUUGCCGAAGUUCUGUAGUCCAGAAUCACCAGGCGAGCAUGGUUGUUGAACACAUAUUUUGUUAUAAUGUGAAUUGCACAGUCUACAGUCAUUCAUAAAAGUCAAUGCCUUUGUUGAUACUAUUGAAACAUGACAAAUAAGCAGGAUCAUGAUGACUAUUACGAAUAAUAAUUUGUAUUUCAUCUAUUAACGAAAAAUAAAAAAAGAGAGUUAAACAGAUUUUU
This 517-nucleotide long non-coding RNA is filed under the name Mytilus galloprovincialis (Mediterranean mussel). Lineage: Eukaryota; Metazoa; Mollusca; Bivalvia; Mytilida; Mytilidae. The record is from RNAcentral.